CUUUCUCCUCUCUUUCCUUUUUCGCAUGAUAAUUCAGAGGGAAGAGAGAGAGAAAAUAAAGAAAACAGAGAGAGAGAAGGGGGGAGAAAGAUCAAAAGACGAAAUUGACCUCAAUUUCUCUGUUCUUGCUGUUUCUGCUUCUUCUUUGUUUCUUCCCUCUCUCAUUUAGCCGAUUUCAGGUUUGAUAAUUGUUUGUACGGUCGCCAUGAACGAGAAGGCCAACGUCUC
Molecule: unclassified non-coding RNA, 228 nt
Filed under: Hevea brasiliensis (rubber tree)
Lineage: Eukaryota; Viridiplantae; Streptophyta; Magnoliopsida; Malpighiales; Euphorbiaceae
Source: RNAcentral